GACGAACGCUGGCGGCGUGCUUAACACAUGCAAGUCGAACGGAAAGGCCCUGAUUUUGUGGGGUGCUCGGGUGGCGAACGGGUGAGUAACACGUGAGUAACCUGCCCUUGACUUUGGGAUAACUUCAGGAAACUGGGGCUAAUACCGGAUAGGAGCUCCUGCUGCAUGGUGGGGGUUGGAAAGUUUCGGCGGUUGGGGAUGGACUCGCGGCUUAUCAGCUUGUUGGUGAGGUAGUGGCUUACCAAGGCUUUGACGGGUAGCCGGCCUGAGAGGGUGACCGGCCACAUUGGUACUGAGAGACGGCCCAGACUCCUACGGGAGGCAGCAGGGGGGAAUAUGGCGCAAUGGGCGGAAGCCUGAUGCAGCAACGCCGCGUGCGUGAUGACGGCCUUCGGGUUGUAAACCGCUUUCGCCGGUGACGAAGCGUGAGUGACGGUAAUGGGUAAAGAAGCACCGGCUAACUACGUG
RNAcentral lists this ribosomal RNA (468 nucleotides) under uncultured bacterium. RNAcentral describes it as "partial 16S ribosomal RNA". It matches the Rfam family "Bacterial small subunit ribosomal RNA", at positions 28 to 507 of the family's 1533-position model. The record is from RNAcentral.